RNAcentral lists this ribosomal RNA (413 nucleotides) under uncultured microorganism. RNAcentral describes it as "bacterial SSU rRNA". It matches the Rfam family "Archaeal small subunit ribosomal RNA", at positions 330 to 745 of the family's 1478-position model. The record is from RNAcentral.
GUGCACCAGUCGCGAAUCCUUCGCAAUGCGGGAAACCGCGACGAGGGGACUCCCAGUGCCUACGCUCAGCGUAGGCUGUUCCCGAGCCUAGAAAGCUCGGGGAGUAAGGGCUGGGUAAGACGGGUGCCAGCCGCCGCGGUAAUACCCGCAGCCCGAGUGGUGGCCACUAUUAUUGGGCCUAAAGCGUCCGUAGCCGGCCCGGUAAAUGCCUGGGUAAAUCGUGAGGCCUAACCUCACGAAUUCCGGGUAGACUGCCGGGCUAGGGACCGGAGGAGGGAGAGGGUACUCCAGGGGUAGGGGUGAAAUCCUGUAAUCCCUGGAGGACCACCGGUGGCGAAGGCGCUCUCCUAGGACGGGUCCGACGGUGAGGGACGAAAGCCAGGGGAGCGAACCGGAUUAGAUACCCGCGUAGU